Rhineura floridana is the source of this 3056-nucleotide long non-coding RNA. RefSeq lists it as uncharacterized. The transcript has 3 exons. The record is from RefSeq and is a predicted model, not a curated record. NCBI's taxonomy places the organism in Eukaryota, Metazoa, Chordata, Lepidosauria, Squamata, Rhineuridae.
UAUCAUUUUAUCAUCCAUUAAUUUUUUUCAAUCAAUCUUUUAAUGAGCACUGAAUUUUUUUCUCUAGACGUGUGUGUGUUUGUGUGUGUGUGUGUGUAGUAUGAAAAUAUUGAGAAUUUUAUCUAACGAAAUUCUACUAAGAGCAGACCCACUGAUAUGAAAGGACUGAAGGUAGUAAUAUUCAUUCAUGUCAAUGGGGACUUCCGGGAAAAUGGCGAUGGAGGAGGUUUGUUUGCUCUGAGCUCUGGGACUCUGGGACUCUUUUAAUUUAUUUUCUUCUUUUAUGGUUUUAGCCUUUUUAAAACUCAGAACAUUUCAAUGCCCUGUUAGUGCUCCGCAAUUUAUGAGCCAAAGCCUGCAGUUUACAUCCCGAACUGUCAGCAUGGGAGGGCUGUUAGCACAGAACCGAGGAGAUAGCGUUUUGCUCUGAAGCAGUUUUACCGUUUUACUGUUUUAUGGCCGCCCUGCCUGGCUCUCAAUGCACAGUGGAAUUAGUCGGAGGCACUGCAGUCGGAGGAACUGCUCUCUAACCGCCACGCAAUUCAGAGGUCUGAAUAUUACAAGUGAGAUAAGAAGAACUCCGGCAACAGCCAACAGCCAAGCAAGAUAAGUGAGCUGGACCUUCCCAAUCAACAGCAGCUUUGUGAUAUCCAGUGGCAUGACAGGAGAGAGUACGAUAUACUGCAGAAACAAGAAAAAGGACAAUUGCUCAAUAAACAGGUUGUCUGGAAGUGCCUUCAGCUGAUGGGGAAGACCCCUUCCUCUUCCCGGGGACCUGGAGAACCUCUGCUAGUCAAGAGUACAGUUGGAUGGCACGGGACUACAUGGACAAACAUGCUGACCUGAUAUAAGACAGCUUCCUCUGUUCCUAUCUCCAGAACCCAUCUAAAAUUCUGCUCCCACAGUGUGUGGCCAUGACUCUGUUGUACACACACAACUUUACAUGCACCAGCUAUAGCUGUGGCUCAUCAUGCCACAUGAGCUAAUUGGUCUUCAAGGUCCCUUGCCACUCUGUCCUUUUGGGCCAUUUAGCAAGUCAGUUCCCACAUGCAAGGAGAGUGUGAAACAUGCAGCAGGCGCUGAGUGCAAUUAAAGAUGUUGUUGUCCCCAUGCAAUGCAGCUUCCUUCCUUGGGAAUCCCAGUGAUGCUUUGGCUUGAGGCUGCCAAUUCUUCAGCAGACAACAUUCCACAGAAGAGACAGCUAGCCAGAAAGGCUAACAAUGAAGGCAGAAGAAUUAUCUGCAAAGAGAAAAAGACAGAGAGGGCAAGUUUAAACAACAACAGCAUUUGUAUUCAUUUCCGAUGGACCUCGCUCUUCAUAAUUCUACUACACCAUGUAUGUAGGGGUGUAUAUACACGUGUGUGUACACCCACACCCACCCACCCUCUGAAACAUACUGUAGUCCCUGAACGCUUAAGCCAGGGAUGGCUAAGCCUGGGAGCCAGAUGCCACCCUCCAAGCAAACAUUUCUGGCUCCCCAAAUCCCCACCAAUUUUGGCAGCAGCGGCAAAAAGAAAAAAAACCUCUCUGCCCAGUUCAGUGAUCUGAUGCGGAUAUAAAUCAUCUCCCCAGUCAUCAGUUCGAUAAUUUGAUGAGCGGCUGGGGGGUGAUAACCCCUCUUCCUCAACUGAUCAGCAUAGGUCAGCUGAGGAGGAGGGCUGUGUGCCUCUGUGUGCACACACGUGAGAGUGUGGGUGACCAUACACUCCACUGGCCUCCAGAGAGUUGGCCCUUGGGGUAUAAAAAGUUAGCUACCAUGGCUUAGGCCAUAAUAAAUGUGCUAUUCUUUGAUCUUAAAGUUGAUUUUGUACAAAGUAAGUUUGCCAACCACCUUCUAAAUUAAUGGUUACAUUUUAUUUCCAAACCCCGCGUCUAUGUAGACAUCCACAAAAGAGUCAGCUGAAAGUUUUAGAGAGCUGCUAAAGGUAAAUAAACUAAGCUGCAAACGGUUCCACAGGGUACACUCCACAAUGAUCCAAACACUCUAAAGAGGAUUCCUGAACUACAGGGAGCAGAGGAGCCAAUGUGAUGCCCUCCAGAUGUUGCUGGACUAUAACUCCCAUCAUCCCUGACAACUGGCCAUGCUGGAUGCCCCAUGGGAGUAUGAGUCUAACAACAUCUGAAGGACACCUCGUUAGCUACCCUGCAUGGAUUAGAAACUGGUGGACCCAUAAUAAAACCUGGCCUGCAAAAUGAUGCCAAAUGUUCCCCACUAAUUGCUAACAGUCCCGGGGGGGGAGCCCUGUAGCCAGAGUGGAGGAAAUAAAUUCACCCCACGUCCCAGAGCUGUGCUUCACCCCUCUAAGAUUUUUUGGGGGAAAUCUUUUUAAUUUGUGACAUGACAGGCAAUGACUGCCUCCAUUUAAAGAAGGACAGCUUGUUUUAAGAACAGGAGCAAUUUAAUAGGACCCUCUGAAAAAUCCAGUGAAUAAGGCAGAGUGUGUGCAGAACACAAGCUUCAUCUGGAAGAGCUCCCAAGAGUCUGCUCUCUCAAGGUUUUCUCUGACUGAGGGUGGAUUUUUCAUGAUCAGAAUCACCCUAUAAUUUCUUAAAUGACUCUGGAAAAAAAAGUCUGUAUGAUAACAUGACCCUUGAAGAGUUAAAUAUUAGAACUUUGUAUUAUGGGCUAGAGUCAGACUCUACUCCUUGGACUUUCUUUUCCUCUGCUCUUCAGCAGCAAUACAGAAGCAUGUUUGUUUGCCUACAGUAAGAAGAGUUUAUUUAUUCUACAGUUAUUAUGAUGAGUACAGCAGGAUUGGGUGCUUAUUGCUAAAGGCUGAAAUAAAUAGAUAACUUAAAAGUGAUUUGAAAAAAUAUCUACCGAGUUACUCUUUACUCUUUUAAAGCACUCGCUACACUUAUAAUCAUAAUGGCUGUUUUUUCUUUUCUUUUCUUCUUGAGUACUUAAUGGAAAAGGAUGAAAACAGUCCCAGAGGAAUAGAAACACUGGUGUACACACUACAGUUAGGUGGCUGGCUAGCCACCUAGGCUGUAUCUCAGGCCUUAUUUCUGAUUUUCCCAAUGUGUGCAGCUCAGCAUAAGGUCUUUUCAGUGU